UUACGGCCAUAUCACGUUGAAACACAGGUUCUUGCACGAUCACUGAAAUUAAGCAACGUCGAGCCUGGUCAGUACCUAGAUGGGUGACCGUUUGGGAAUUCUAGGUGUUGUG
Non-coding RNA from Acanthosepion pharaonis, 112 nucleotides. NCBI's taxonomy places the organism in Eukaryota, Metazoa, Mollusca, Cephalopoda, Sepiida, Sepiidae. The record is from the annotation of a GenBank genome assembly.